GCCGGCGCCGGCGCCGGCAGCGACGGCAAGAGGCCCUUUUGCUAAGGAUUGCGCUUUUCCGAGGGGCCUUUUUGCAAAAUAGCCACAAAAUAAACAGGUGAAAAUUACAAAAUACAUAGGAAUUUGCCGGGUUUCCUCUCCUCUGCCGUGCAAAUUCAAACGCAGGAUAAUCAAGUUUGAGGUAAAAUUUCUCGAUUUUUCGCUUUCGUUUGAAUUAAUGGAGAUAAAGAUUAGAGAGGUGAUUUGAAUCCUGAGAUCACUAGAGUUGGUGUGAACAGCACGAUGUGCAUCACUCUCAAAUUUGUAAUGGAAGUAAGCAGAUGAGCUUGUAUGUUGUUUUCUCUUUCAUUUUUUUUGUAUGAGUACAUACAGAAUUUUCAAUAAAGUCCGUACACCAGGUUAACAAUUGAGAUACUCGUCAUAAAGGGAUUCUGUUUGAGGAGACGUGCAAAUCAACAGAAAUUAACAUUGCUCAUAAGUAUUAUUGAAGUAUAGUUUCGAACAGAUGGAAAUGAUAUGACAUAAGUUAUCGUGACAAUAAAUUCCUAAUAUUGAACAUGAGUGACUUAUUG
This 572-nucleotide long non-coding RNA is filed under the name Oryza brachyantha (malo sina). RNAcentral describes it as "long non-coding RNA (OBRA_LNC002881)". Lineage: Eukaryota; Viridiplantae; Streptophyta; Magnoliopsida; Poales; Poaceae. The record is from RNAcentral.